Molecule: ribosomal RNA, 580 nt
Filed under: Trichosporon sp.
Lineage: Eukaryota; Fungi; Basidiomycota; Tremellomycetes; Trichosporonales; Trichosporonaceae
Description: LSU rRNA
Rfam family: Eukaryotic large subunit ribosomal RNA
Source: RNAcentral
UCCCCUAGUAACGGCGAGUGAACCGGGAAGAGCUCAAAUUUGAAAUCUGGCAGUCUUCGAUUGUCCGAGUUGUAAUCUAUAGAAGCGUUUUCCGUGCUGAACUGUGUAUAAGUCCCUUGGAACAGGGUAUCAAAGAGGGUGACAAUCCCGUACUUUACACAAUCAUCAGUGCUCUGUGAUACGUUCUCUACGAGUCGAGUUGUUUGGGAAUGCAGCUCAAAAUGGGUGGUAAAUUCCAUCUAAAGCUAAAUAUUGGCGAGAGACCGAUAGCGAACAAGUACCGUGAGGGAAAGAUGAAAAGCACUUUGGAAAGAGAGUUAAACAGUACGUGAAAUUGUUGAAAGGGAAACGAACGCUACGUAUCAUGUUUAUUGGACUCAGCCGAUCUUCGGUGUACUUCCUUUAAACGGGUCAACAUCAGUUUUGUCCGAUGGAUAAAGGUAGUAGGAAGGUGGCUCUCUCGGGAGUGUUAUAGCCUAUUGCCGCAUACAUUGGAUGAGACUGAGGACUGCAGCUUGCCUUUAUGGCCGGGGUUCGCCCACGUUCAAGCUUAGGAUGUUGACAUAUACUCGAGCGCACG